Molecule: transfer RNA, 72 nt
Filed under: Stachyamoeba lipophora
Lineage: Eukaryota; Heterolobosea; Gruberellidae
Description: tRNA-Glu
Rfam family: tRNA
About the family: Transfer RNA (tRNA) molecules are approximately 80 nucleotides in length. Their secondary structure includes four short double-helical elements and three loops (D, anti-codon, and T loops).
Source: RNAcentral
UUCCCCUUCGUCUAACGGUUAGGACAUUACUUUUUCACAGUAGAAAUGUGGGUUCGAUUCUCACAGGGGACA